AUGAAAAUAGUAAGCUGGAACUGCCGGGGUCUCGGGAAUGGCCAGGCAGUUCGCAGCCUCCUCGAGAUGGGAAGGAAGGAGGAGCCUGAUAUUUUGUUCCUGGCAGAAACUAAAAUGACAGUGAAGGAGUUGGAGUGAUUUAGAUGGCUUUUGGGCCUUGCAAAUAUGAAUGCAUGGAAUUCGGAUGGGAGGAGUCAUGGAGUGGCUAUGUUUUGGAGGAGGGGAGUGGAGGUAGGACUGAGAUCUUAUGGGCGGAGGCAUAUUGAUGUAGAUGUGAAGGAAGAAAGUGGGAUUGUG
Molecule: ribosomal RNA, 297 nt
Filed under: Triticum aestivum (bread wheat)
Lineage: Eukaryota; Viridiplantae; Streptophyta; Magnoliopsida; Poales; Poaceae
Description: partial small subunit ribosomal RNA
Source: RNAcentral